Molecule: small nuclear RNA, 117 nt
Organism: Tachyglossus aculeatus (Australian echidna)
Lineage: Eukaryota; Metazoa; Chordata; Mammalia; Monotremata; Tachyglossidae
Product: U5 spliceosomal RNA
Exons: 1
Source: RefSeq, a predicted model, not a curated record
AUACUCUGGUUUCUCUUCAUAGCGCAUAAAUCUUUCGCCUUUUACUAAAGAUUUCCGUGGAGAGGAACAGUUAUGAGUUUGUAACUAAUUUUUUUAAGGCCUCGUUUUAACGAGGCU